CUGUAUACUUUUACAUGAAGCCAUUAGAUGAUACAAGUUGUAGAAGACUUAAAGAAGAAAUUUGAAAACCCCCUACCUGGGCGAGAGAUCUUAGGGCACCCUUUGUCUUCUGUUGAGCUCCUUGUUCAUCCAGGUACUGUCUCUCAACAGAAGAGAAGAAGUCUCUCAGAAACUUCACUGUGGACUUGAGAUUCUCUGCCACAGACGAAGCAGAAGUCACCAAUUGUGAAGGUCUGGUUCGAAUGACUGCUAAGGGAGGGCACUG
This 265-nucleotide long non-coding RNA is filed under the name Elaeis guineensis (African oil palm). Its description in RNAcentral is "long non-coding RNA (EGUI_LNC050272)". Lineage: Eukaryota; Viridiplantae; Streptophyta; Magnoliopsida; Arecales; Arecaceae. The record is from RNAcentral.